This 368-nucleotide ribosomal RNA is filed under the name uncultured bacterium. RNAcentral describes it as "bacterial SSU rRNA". It matches the Rfam family "Bacterial small subunit ribosomal RNA", at positions 29 to 399 of the family's 1533-position model. The record is from RNAcentral.
AUUGAACGCUGGCGGCGUGCCUAACACAUGCAAGUCGAGCGGUAACAGGUGUAGCAAUACAUGCUGACGAGCGGCGACGGGUGAGUAACGCUUGGGAAUCUGCCUAUUAGUGGGGACAACCCGGGGAACUCGGGCUAAUACCGCAUACGCUCUACGGAGGAAAGCCGGGGACCGCAAGGCCUGGCGCUAAUAGAUGAGCCCAAGUCGGAUUAGCUAGUUGGUAGGGUAAUGGCCUACCAAGGCGACGAUCCGUAACUGGUCUGAGAGGAUGGCCAGCCACAUUGGGACUGAGACACGGCCCAGACUCCUACGGGAGGCAGCAGUGGGGAAUAUUGCGCAAUGGCCGCAAGGCUGACGCAGCGACGCCG